Rattus norvegicus (Norway rat) is the source of this 60-nucleotide non-coding RNA. The record is from Rfam. Lineage: Eukaryota; Metazoa; Chordata; Mammalia; Rodentia; Muridae.
GGGAAACAGGAGCUGGGCUUGGGAGAAGAGCCAUCCCAAGCCCAAGACCAAGUAGGCUCC